RNAcentral lists this ribosomal RNA (468 nucleotides) under uncultured bacterium. RNAcentral describes it as "partial 16S ribosomal RNA". It matches the Rfam family "Bacterial small subunit ribosomal RNA", at positions 28 to 507 of the family's 1533-position model. The record is from RNAcentral.
GACGAACGCUGGCGGCGUGCUUAACACAUGCAAGUCGAACGGAAAGGCCCUGCUUUUGUGGGUUGCUCGAGUGGCGAACGCGUGAGUAACACGUGAGUAACCUCCCCUUGACUUUGGGAUAACUUCAGGAAACUCGGGCUAAUACCGGAUAGGAGCUCCUGCUCCAUGGUGGUGGUUGGAAAGUUUCGGCGGUUGGGGAUGGACUCGCGGCUUAUCAGCUUGUUGGUGGGGUAGUGGCUUACCAGGGCUUUGACGGGUAGCCGGCCUGAGAGGGUGACCGGCCACAUUGGGACUGAGAUACGGACCAGACUCCUACGGGAGGCAGCAGUGGGGAAUAUUGCAGAAUGGGCGGAAGCGUGAUGCAGAAACGCCGCGUGCGGGAUGACGGCCUUCGGGUUGUAAACCGAUUUGGCCUGUGACGAAGAGGGAGUGACGGUAAUGAGUAAAAAAGCAACGGCUAACUACGUG